RNAcentral lists this long non-coding RNA (210 nucleotides) under Mytilus galloprovincialis (Mediterranean mussel). Lineage: Eukaryota; Metazoa; Mollusca; Bivalvia; Mytilida; Mytilidae. The record is from RNAcentral.
AUAAAAAUGAGAAUGGAAAUGGGGAUUGUGCCAAAGAGACAACAACCCGACCAUUGAAAAAAACAACAACAGCAGAAGGUCACCAACAGGUCUUCAAUGUAGCGAGAAAUUCCCGCACCCGGAGGCGUCCUUCAGCUGGCCCCAUAACAAAUAUAUACUAUUGCAGUGAUAAUGAACGCCAUACUAAUUUCCAAAUUGUACACAAGAAAC